UACGUAGGGUGCGAUCGUUAAUCGGAAUUACUGGGCGUAAAGCGUGCGCAGGCGGUUCGCCAAGUCAGGUGUGAAAUCCCCGGGCUUAACCUGGGAAUUGCGCUUGAAACUAGCGGGCUUGAGUGUGGCAGAGGGGGGUGGAAUUCCACGUGUAGCAGUGAAAUGCGUAGAGAUGUGGAGGAACACCGAUGGCGAAGGCAGCCCCCUGGGUCAACACUGACGCUCAUGCACGAAAGCGUGGGGAGCAAACAGG
Molecule: ribosomal RNA, 253 nt
Filed under: uncultured bacterium
Lineage: Bacteria
Description: partial 16S ribosomal RNA
Rfam family: Bacterial small subunit ribosomal RNA
Source: RNAcentral